Molecule: long non-coding RNA, 8288 nt
Filed under: Jatropha curcas
Lineage: Eukaryota; Viridiplantae; Streptophyta; Magnoliopsida; Malpighiales; Euphorbiaceae
Description: long non-coding RNA (JCUR_LNC002643)
Source: RNAcentral
CAUUAAUCAAGAAAAUCAAGAAGAUGAAGAAGACCCAUUAGUACCAACAUGAGCAACAUUAUCAUUUCCAAAGUGUUGUUCUUGUUGUUGUUGUUGAUGAUGAUUCAGAUUCUCACUGCUGUUGUUGUUGUUGCUGCUGUUAUUUUCAAGAUUAUUGCUUGUACCAUUUCCAUUUCCAUUUCCAUUAGCGUCUCUCUUGCCGAAUGUGUUCUUGUUAUUAUGCAUCCACACUUUCAACACUCCUUUAUCACCCCCAACUUCAUUGCAAAAUUCUUGAAUCAAUUCCUCAUCUCUUUUUUGCAUCUUCCAUCCAACUCUCUCCGCAACCUGAUACAUUAUCUCUUUCUGGUCCUGGCUAAAUUUUGUCCUGAAGCGUUUUCUUGCCGAAACGCCCCCCGAAACGUUUAUAUUCGAAUUUUCGUUUAACCCAGCAGCUACGCCACCUGAGAGAGCUAACAGCAUGUGUGGCGCAGAUGGGUAGGAAGAAGAGAUCGGCGGCGGAAAAUAGGAAGCUGAAUAACACUUAUCGUUACAUGGCCGGCGAAGGAUUUUGUGGGCGGCGCAAGAUCCGAGGAAAGCCGCAGAUGGAAGGCAGGAACGGCUGGAAGAAGUUUGGGAAAGCUGUAAGGAAAGACUUUGAUGAUGAGAAGACAGAAAAGGAGAAUUUACAAUUGGAUCAGAAGAUGAUGAAGAAUAUGAAUCAAAAGAUAGCGACGGAGAAGAGGACGAUGAUUGUCUUGGUGAUUGGGAAUCGGAAAAUGUAGAGGGAAAUACGAAUGGGUUUUUCGCCAUCUGAAAGCGAUCGAGAUAGAACAGGAAAUGGGUCAACACUUGGUAUGUAUACGAGUACUUUUUUCCAAUUUUUGAUUGCUAUGGGAUAUCACAUUUCAGAGAAUUCAAAAAUAAGGGAAAGUGCGGCAGCGCCUCUUCCAUUUCCCUUCCAUUUUGACUAACUCCUCUUCCUUUAAGCAGUGUUAUUUUUCUUUUAUUUUCCAUUCAGCUAAGUUGGAGACUAAUACAUGAUCAAACUAAUAUUAACACAUUUCAAUAAAAUUUAUAAAAUAAAAUUUAGUAUGGUAACCAAAAAAAAAAAAAAAAACUCUGAUGUACCAAUUUGUUCUUAAUAAUGAAUAAUGAAAGAGGGAGAAAAGGAACAAAGAGGAUGGAAUUCCAUACGUAAAAUAGUUACUAGCAAAACCCACUUUAUUGCCUUACAUCAACCAUAGUAGGGUACAGGGUCUUGGGCUGGAAGGCAUAAGCCUUAUAACUAAGGGGCUACAGCGUUGUUUUAGUUGGAGUAAACCCAUUUGGGAUUGGGUUUGGCAAGCCCAUCACUCCCCUGGGCCUUGGUAAGUCUAAUGUCAAGAGGAGACGUUCAAAAUUAAUGACCUAAUAAUUUGUUAGUAUCACAACGAGCUCUAUUGCACUCUAUAAUUAAUUAAUUAAUCAUCAUUUCAAACUAAUUAAAUGUAAAUUUUUAAACUCCAUGAUAUUUUGAGUGAUUUCUAAUUUAUGAGAUUGUGAGCUGUAGCCAAUUGAUCAUUAUAAAAAAAGAAUAAAUUAUAUUUAUACUUAAUUUUAUUUUCAUUUUGUUAUUUUGUAAUUUUUAAAUUUAAUUUUUUAUUUCAAUGGAAGAUAGUUUAUAAGAAUUUUGUUACUAAUAAUAUUAGUAUGGCACUAAAAUAUUUCAUUAAAAAAUCAUAUAUAUACUUGUAAAUUAAUUUGGCACCUACUUACUAUUCGAGGUCGUAAAUUGUUCCCACUUAAAGAAUAUAACUUCUUUUUUUAAAGAAGAGUAAAAGAAAAAGGUAAAAAGAAUACCGAAAAAAUAAUAAAAUUUUCUAUAUUGUGACUAUGAGAUUUUAUUUUAUUGAGAAAAAAAAAAAAAAAAAAAGAAAGCAAAUUUAUGAAGCAACUCAGUUUAUAAAAGAUAGAACUAUGUUAAAAUAAUUUAAAAAAUGGAAUCAAACUUGCAUCUUAGCUAGAAUUUGGUUGAUCCCCUUUUCAAAAAAGAAGUUACUUUUGGAAGCAUAAAAAUAUACUGUGGAUCAAGAAUACAAGUGACAGCUCUUGGGGUUGGACACAGCUUUUGAAGCUCAUCAGAUAAAAGUUACACUCAAUGACCAAUCUUCCAUUAAUUGGCAUCUGCUUAAUUCAGUCAAAUUGCACAAGAAUAAAAUUUUUGAUUCUUUCAAUCCCCAUCAAAUGCUUAUAUGAACAUCUUCUACUUUGAUACAAAGUGCAAUUUGUAAGGUUAGUUGGUAGAAGAUCAUUUAUCUUCAACUGAUUUUCAAGGUUUCAACCCUGAGAUACAUUGCUUCACACCAUCCACCUUUCAUCCUUCUGCCUAAACACAAUCAAACUCAAAGCUUUACUUAAGCAUAUUCUCAAACAACAUAUGUGCAUAAACAAAGUGAUUUGAAGGUGAAUUAAUUGGUUAGUAUAAAAAGUGAAUGUUAGGCUGUAAGAAGGAAUUGAAAGACAAGCUUUUUUAUGCUGAAACAAUUAGAAUUUAACCCAUCCAAGAAGCGGUUGGAUUUGUUAGAUCAUGUUGCAAGUUUAUUGAAGUUCAUGUGUCAAUUGUACAGUUCCAAAGUCUCAAUCAUCUUCAUAAGUGGCCUGCAUGUGAACUGUACUACUCGGUUUCCAUUUUGGGUCAGACAAAUUGGGCUCUUUCCUCUCUGUUUUCACAUGCGAUCAAAGUCCAUAGCCAGAUUCAACAGCACCAACGAAUCCUUCACCUUGCUUUUAUAUAUAUAUCCUUCAAUCAACCACAAAUUAGCAAUGCCAUAUAUACAGAGAAAGAGUUAUACAAUUCAAAAUGAAAGGAUUAUAACCUCCUCACAAACGGAAGAUAUACGCCUGGCUCCAGAUUUUGGAAUUCCUAAUGUUUUAAGUUAAUUUCCUUUUUUUUUUUUUUUUUAAUUGUCUAGAAUCUGAAGUCCAUUGCCAGACUAAUCCGGAUUCGCGUCGAGCAUACCCUCAAAGGGACAAAGCGCUUCCUCCGAAGUGUUCAAAGACAUUACAUACAUAUGGCUCGAAUUCAGACACCUCUAAUUAAAAGAAAGGGAUUUCAGUCAUUCCUUAUUACCGACUGGAGUUAUAUUCGUUUAUUGAUUAAGUUUCUAUUAAUACCAUAUAAUUUUUUUUUUAAUUUGAAAAUAAAUUUAGAAAAAGGAGAAAGAAGAAUGUUUGAAGGUUAAAUAUAGAAAAAGUUAAUUUUGGAAAACAAAGAGGGAAAUGGAACAAGAUUAAAUCAAUAUUCACAUACCCAAGUUGAAGGAUACGAUGAAUUUGUCCACAAAGAUUAAAUCUUAGUGGACAUAAACAUAAUUAAAAAAAAAAAAAAAAAAAAAAAAACCAAUGAGAAUAUUAAAUGAAAGAAUUAGAAAAAUAAAAUUAAGAAUUGGCAAAUGGUUGAUAAUUGUUUGGACCACAUAAUAAAGUGCAGUAAUCUUUAUGCUCCAAAUAAUUUAGUGUGGUCCUCCAUUGACUCGUUAAUUAGUAGCUACAACAAGAGUUUCUUUCAACUUCCGUUUGUUACUACCACUACGUGCUCCUUUCCUUUUCUCCAACAACGAUUUAAAGGCUUAUACUUUAUUUUCUUGUCAUAAUUUUCAAGUGGGUUUCAGCAUCUUUUCUUUCUCUAAAUAAAUUCCACAAAUUACUCUUUUCAAAAACAUCAGAUUUCUUAUUUAGUUUCUUCCAUAUGUAUGAUGGAUUUGUGGAUGUCUCUUGCCAAUCCAUCAAAAAAUAAAUUAUUAAUUGUGUUAACUUUUAUUUCUUUUUUUUGGAAAUUAUUUUAUUAAAACUAUUUGUUCUUUUGAUAAGAUUAAUGAAUAUUAAUUAAUUUUUUAAAAUUUACUAAUAGAUGAUGUAUGUUAGAGUAAUAGAUCAAAUCAAAGAUAACUUAAUCAAAUUAAGGAGUACUUUAUUAUUAUUAUAAUUUAGGUGAUUUAGUUGCUUUUUUAAGCACUAUGUAAAUUUUUUUUUUUCCGUUUAAUGAUUUACGUAAUCUUAUUUUCCGUUCACUCCGAGAGGCAUGAGAGUUGGCUUGUGGAGAUUUUACGCUGAGAGUGCCUCAAAACUACAACCUCGUAAAUCUCUCAAUUCCUUUGAGUGCUCUUUGUCACUGAACAUAAAAUUUUUACAAGAUAAAAAAAAUGAAUUGAAAGAAGAUAAAAGAAAGUCAUUUUCAAUGUAAGUAUUGAAGGUGAAAGCAUAAUCACGAAAAAUAUAACUUGUAAUUGUAAUUAACUUUUUGAGAUGGAAAGGGUAAAACCCUAAUUAUGGACAGUGAAUUUCUUGGUGUAGGAACGGUGCCGCUGUAAUUAGCGUAGUUAUUACAGUAACAAUAUAGCAAACCCCAUGUCUAAUUAUUCAAGAGGAUGAGUAAGCAGUUAGCUCUUUCUUAGCAACAAUUUGAAUUUGCUAAACGACAUGUGGAAAAGAAAAACAAAAAGGAAAAAUACAACAAGUGGAUAUUUGCAGACAAAACCACAAGAUGAACACAUGACUUGACCUUAUAUGAUACCAAUUUAAAUUCUUCUCUUUCUUUUUUUUUUUUUUUCUUUUUAUUCAUUUGGAUUGGCAUAUAAAUUUUUUGCUAUUUAUUUAAUUAUGAACUUAACAAAAUGAAGGUUAUAUUCAGCAACCACUUUUUAAAUAGCUUUUAGAGUUUAACGUGGUGUUUCAUGCUUAAACAGUUGAUUGUUAAAUGUUAACAACUACCAAAACAAUUGGUUUUGUUGAACAACCCUGAAGCAAAGAAUACACAUAGCCAUCGGCAAAGCUAUAUGAUGAGAAGAUUGUAGGAGCCAUUUAUAAAUGCAAGUCCUAGGAUUUAAAUUCAAGAUCUGUAAACUAAAUGCAAGUCCUAGGAUUUAAAUUCAAGAUCUGUAAACUUUCACUUGAUUGCUUGAAUUAAUUAGGGAUUAAAUUAGAAUUAGCAUAUGAUUGUGUUGAAAGUAAGGAGAAGAGAAAUUCUUGUACCUAAUAUGAAAAAGGGAGAGGAUUAGGACAAAGGUAGUUUUAAAGAAAGCUGAAACUGAAGUAAUAAGGAAGGUGUACCUAUACAUUUUUAUAUCAUUAAAUUUAGCUUUGGGUUUCUACAAUAACAGUUUCUAUUUUUAGCUUAAGCAUUAUUACAGCAAUGGAGUUUCAAAAUAUUCAAUAGUUGAAAAUCAAAUUUAGAAUUUUUUUAGACGACCAAGUUUAGAAAAUAUGCUUCCAUCAAUCAUUUGAUAAUUAAAUUGUUUUUACUUGGGACUUAACUGUUGAAUCAUUUGUGAAUGUAAUUUUAUUGAUUUUUUAUUAUUUUUUUGAGAGCUAGCUCCAUUUUUUUUUUAAAAAAAAAAAAAACUAAAUAAAAAGAUGUGCAAAAGCAUAAAGCGGCCAUAUAUUUACCUGGGAGGGCAAAUACUUUUAGAAGUGGGCUAAUGCACGUGCACGUGCACACGCACAAGGGAAUAUUAUGGUGCACAAGUUGGUCCAUACGCUACUCCAUCUUUGAUAUGGGCUUUAAAACCUAAAGUUCAAAGUUGAAUCCUUAAUCACAUAUUUAUAAUUAUAUUAGUGGAGUAUUUUCUUUUCUGAGGUCUCAUUCAUUAAAAUUAAUGGAGGCAUGUAGGGACACAAUGUUUGUUUUUCACAAUCAAGAUUAUCAUUAUUAAUUGACAAUCUUUAAUAUUAACUGCCCUCUUUAAGCUAUUAUUAACACCUUGCAUUGCACUAAGCCACAUCUUAUUCUUAAUAAGUAGAUAAGCAUCAACAAAUUACUUAAAGCUUCUAUGUAAAGACUCCUGAAUGUCAAUUAUUUGACAUAUGACAUUUGCCAAUUUUUCUUGUGUGAAUGAAAAGAUGGUAUUUCAAUUCAAUCCUUCUAAAAAAUUAUAAUAUGUUAUAUUCAAAAAAAAUCCUAAAAAAAAUAUAAUCUCAAGUUUUUUUAGGCAAAAAAAGUCAUGGGAAGUUAAUUUCACACAUCAUGAUAAUUUUUUUUUUUUUUUUUUUUUUUGCAGCAAAAAUUUCUUUUAUUAUUAAAAUCCUGGAAAAAUUUAAUAUACGGGCCAUUAAGCCUCCCAGGACACCCAUCCUAACUCGCAUCAUGAUAAACUGACAAUAAGAAUUACUAAUUAAGGUUUUUUUGUUAAUUUAAACCUUUUUUUCAUCCAUUUUAUUCUUGAAUGAAAAAUCCAUAAAUGCCAUUCACAAGCAUGGUGCCUCUCAUUAAUACACACAUUAAAUUUUAAACCUAACAAGUUAUUAAAUAAUGUCUCACUCUCAUCAUCAAUCAAAAUAUCCUUGAAUUGAAGUUUGUUCCAAAUUAUACAACAACUAGCUACUCAAACAGAACAAAUUUACAAUCCUAUAUAUACUCGUACUUAUAUAAAACUUAUAUCAGAUACAAGUACUAAAAGAAACCUAACCCUUGAUUAGCUAAUAUCAAAAAACAUCAAAAUUUUCCAAAAAGAAAAAUAAAAUCAAAGCUUUGAAAAAUUUCUCUUAUUUCUGGGGAUGAUGUAAGCCUAUAUGCUCCUGAAUUAACGAUACUUAAUAAGGGUAGAACCGUAGAAUAUAGAUAGGGUUAUGACCCAUGCUUGGGGCAGUUGGGUCCUUAAGUAAGCCAGAAAGACAAGAUUACUGACUUCAUCAAUGACCAAAACCAAAACAACCCAUUAUAGAGAUAUGUAAGAUAAGGCACUCCACAUUUAAUUUAAGUACCCACUACUUUCUUUCUUUUCGUCAUCAUCUACCUAUUUUUAAAUAUUUAUCUAAUAAUAAUAAUAAUAAUAAUAAUAAUAUACAAGUUAAACUAAUUCUGAUUUCUGCUUCCCUUAAAAGGAAAGUGAGAAAAUAAAAUAUUAAUAUUGCUUAAAAGAGAUUAGAUUGUUCAUACUUUUUCCUCAUCUGAUUAGCUAUUAAAGACUAAAAUACACAAUCAGAUCAGAUUAACUAAAAUAUUAGUACUUUUUUCCCUUAUUAAGCAUUAAAUAUCAUAUCUACUCAUAAACUAAAAAGCUAAUGCACAUAACAGGGCAAGAAUGCUUUCUUUUGUGCACUUUAUUAGAAUGGGAAGAAGAAGUAAAAGAAUUUUAUAUAUAUAAAGAAAGAAAGAAAGAAAGCACAAGCUUGGUUUUUUUAUUUUUAAUAGCACAGUGAACUUAUCAGCAUUUAGCACCACUAAAUUAAUUAACUUCCAAUCAAGAAUCUCGAUUAAAAACUGCAAUUGCUGAUGAUUGAAAAGUGUUAUGAAAUGAUGCAUUUUGUAAUUUAUUUUAAUUAAAACAUUAUAAUAUAAGAUUUGAUUAUAAUCAAAUUCUAUUGUGUACAAAAAGAUUAUUAGAUAUGUUAGAAUAAUAUGUAACCGCCCUAAUCUAAGUGACACCACUUUUUGCUUCUUUCUCUCAGACAGAAGAUAAAAGGAAUCCCUCUGUUUCUCUUUCUUUCUCUCUUGGCAGCCAUUAACUAGAUUCAGAAAAUUGAAAUUAGAAAAAAAAAUUAAUUAAAGAAGAUUAAUUAAUUAAUUAAUCUAGUAUUAAAAGUGAGCAAUUGAAAGACGAGAUGAGAGUAAAGUUUUUAGGAUCCCCAAAUAAUUUAAUAUUAAGUAGCUCCUAAUAACACUAAAGUGAAAGCAAACAAAUCAUGCCACAGAAAAGCUAACAAAACCAAAGAAACAUAUGAAAUAAAUUUUUUUUUUUCCUCUUUGGAUCAAAGCUCUCGCAUGUUACUCUUCAACAAAGUGAAGAAGAAGAAGAAGAAGAAAAAGAAGAAGAAAAGGAUGAUUAAUUAAACUAAAUUAAAAAAAAAAAAGAAAAAGAAAAUUAAGGGGAAAAAAACUGAAGAAGUGAAAUUAGAAGAAAAGAAACAACUACUAGCAUGCUUACUGAUCUCUCUCUAUCUAGCUAAGAUUUAUUAUAACCUCCUCCAUCAUCAAAAGAUAAAACCAUUAAUCAAGAAAAUCAAGAAGAUGAAGAAGACCCAUUAGUACCAACAUGAGCAACAUUAUCAUUUCCAAAGUGUUGUUCUUGUUGUUGUUGUUGANNNNNNNNNNNNNNNNNNNNNNNNNUUGCUGUUAUUUUCAAGAUCAUUGCUUGUACCAUUUCCAUUUCCAUUUCCAUUUCCAUUAGCGUCUCUCUUGCCGAAGGUGUUCUUGUUAUUAUGCAUCCACACUUUCAACACUCCUUUAUCAACCCCAACUUCAUUGCAAAAUUCUUGAAUCAAUUCUUCAUCUCUUUUUUGCAUCUUCCAUCCAACUCUCUCCGCAAACUGAUACAUUCUCUCUUUCUGGU